AUGAGGCGAGUGCACGGCCAGAGUCCUGGAUCCAGGGUGGGUGUCACUGUGGAGAUGGGAGGCAGCCUGGCCAGACUGGGGCCAAGCCUCUCCCUGGCUGGCAGCGGGGCUCCAGGAUUUAGUGCCGAGUUGCUGGAGGGAGCUCCCGACUUGGGGCAGGGGGGAGCACUCGGGCUCCAGCCCUGCUCUGCCCUGCGAAGGCUGUGUGGCCGUCAGUGGGGGCCGCCCGUCUCUGGGCCUGGCUUUCUCCAUCCUGGCGGCCGGGAGCCUCUCCCCAGACCUGGUGCCGUGUGCACGGCGGGCGGGGAAGGCACCUCCUCAUCCCUCCUCCCUGUCCUCCCCACUCCCACUGCAGGGUGUGUCUGUCACCCAGGGGCUGGGGCUGUGUGCGUGUGCAAGAAUCAGAGAUGGAGACUGAGUGGAGAGAGAGAGAGAGAGAGAGAGAGAGAGAGAGAGAGAGAAGAUGGGGGGACAGGGGAGGAUACAAGCAGAGAGGUGGUGCAGAGACGGAAAAAGACAGAGACCAAAAGGGUUCAAGUCAGAGAUGGAGAGGAGAGCAGGGAGCGGGGGGGCGGGGGGGAGGCUGGAGGGGGCCUGUGCAUUGGAACCGCCUCGCCCCAGAGCAGGGCUCUCUGCAGGUCAGGGUUCUGCCUCCCACCUGCACAACCCCACCCCCCUACAGGCCCAGAGAGGGCCGGGGUUUGCCCCGAGCUGCACAGGACGCAGGGCAACCUCCGGAUCAGGAGCUCACCUCUCCUCGCAGUGUGUGUGUGUCUGGCACGAGUCUGGUAUUUUCUCUCUGAAUCUGUCUGCCACGAGAUCUGGAUACACCUGAGUGUCGAGGGCACACCUGUGCCUGCAGACCGGAAGCCCGAGACCCAGAGGCAGGGCUGCGCGGCCGGCGCAGUACUGGAGGCGGGGCCUGCCUCCCCAGCACUUCCCUCCGUUGUGAGAGCAGCACUGAUCGGGCACUUGCCACGAGGCAGGCUCUGUGACCAGCGCUCGGCGUGGACUCACGCACCUGACCGUCACACGCAGCAGUGCCGUUCUGCGGGCGAGGAAGCAGGUGCACGCGGGUGA
Molecule: long non-coding RNA, 1080 nt
Filed under: Oryctolagus cuniculus (rabbit)
Lineage: Eukaryota; Metazoa; Chordata; Mammalia; Lagomorpha; Leporidae
Description: lncRNA (ENSOCUG00000032455.1)
Source: RNAcentral